This 506-nucleotide ribosomal RNA is filed under the name uncultured bacterium. RNAcentral describes it as "partial 16S ribosomal RNA". It matches the Rfam family "Bacterial small subunit ribosomal RNA", at positions 29 to 523 of the family's 1533-position model. The record is from RNAcentral.
AGUGAACGCUGGCGGUAGGCCUAACACAUGCAAGUCGAACGGCAGCACAGGAGAGCUUGCUCUCUGGGUGGCGAGUGGCGGACGGGUGAGGAAUACAUCGGAAUCUACUCUGUCGUGGGGGAUAACGUAGGGAAACUUACGCUAAUACCGCAUACGACCUACGGGGGAAAGCAGGGGACCUUCGGGCCUUGCGCGAUUGAAUGAGCCGAUGUAGGAUUAGCUAGUUGGCGGGGUAAAGGCCCACCAAGGCGACGAUCCGUAGCUGGUCUGAGAGGAUGAUCAGCCACACUGGAACUGAGACACGGGCCAGACUCCUACGGGAGGCAGCAGUGGGGAAUAUUGGACAAUGGGCGCAAGCCUGAUCCAGCCAUACCGCGUGGGUGAAGAAGGCCUUCGGGUUGUAAAGCCCUUUUGUUGGGAAAGAAAUCCAGCUGGCUAAUACCCGGUUGGGAUGACGGUACCCAAAGAAUAAGCACCGGCUAACUUCGUGCCAGCAGCCGCCGUAA